This is a long non-coding RNA of Amphiprion ocellaris (clown anemonefish), 788 nucleotides long. Lineage: Eukaryota; Metazoa; Chordata; Actinopteri; Pomacentridae. The record is from Ensembl.
AGCUGAUGGAAGGUCUUGAAGUUCUCUGACUGGCCUCGACUGAAGAUGGUCGUCCCACUGGAUUUAAGGUUCAGAUGCUCAGUAACAAACUCCACCAAUGUGCCAACAGGGAAGCUUUAGGUUUAUUAAAUGUUGCUAUGAAGGUAUCACUGUUUUUCUUUGUGAAUGUAAUGUGCUCCAACUGAAACUUGAAUUAGAACUUAGAAGUAAAUCCUUCCAUCUGAAAGGAUUUAGUUGCAUUAAUAACCUCAUAACAUUCUAAUUUUUAUUCCAGUCUUGGUUGGAAAUAGAAUCUCUGUAUUGAUUCAGGUAAAAACUGAACUUCACAGCAUGUUGAAGCAAAACAACCAGAUGAAAACUGUGAUGGUGUUGGAUUGUCAGACCGUAAUGUUGCAGCUCAAAGCAGCUUUUCUAGCUCAGUUCAUUCUGACAUUCAGCUAUGAAUCAACACAGCAGAUGGUGAUCCAUGCUGUGGAAGUCUCACAUCUCCUGAUUUAAUGGAGCUGCUUUGCACUUUUUACACUGUUUAUUCACCAACACUUUAUUUAAUAAAAGUCCCAUCGAGUUUUUAUGAGGAUUGUGAUGUUUUAAUUUCUCUGUGAAUAACUGCAGUCUAAUGCAACAGCUGGAGUUGUAACAUCUGUCAUGAUAUUGAUCAUGAAAUAUUGAUCAGAAUACUUAUGAUGCACAAUGAGGGACGUCUGCAGAGACUGAGAAAGAGUCUCACCACAUCCUGACAUGAGGAAAAAGACUAUUGAAGACUACAAUGAGGAAAAAAAAAAAAAAAA